UGGCGGACGGGUGAGUAAUGUCUGGGAAACUGCCUGAUGGAGGGGGAUAACUACUGGAAACGGUAGCUAAUACCGCAUAACGUCGCAAGACCAAAGAGGGGACCUUCGGGCCUCUUGCCAUCGGAUGUGCCCAGAUGGGAUUAGCUAGUAGGCGGGGUAACGGCUCACCUAGGCGACGAUCCCUAGCUGGUCUGAGAGGAUGACCAGCCACACUGGAACUGAGACACGGUCCAG
RNAcentral lists this ribosomal RNA (234 nucleotides) under uncultured bacterium. Its description in RNAcentral is "partial 16S ribosomal RNA". It matches the Rfam family "Bacterial small subunit ribosomal RNA", at positions 96 to 334 of the family's 1533-position model. The record is from RNAcentral.